GGAAAUGCUGAGCCUCCAGGCCUCACCCCGUGAUGCUUCCCCUGCUCAGGUGUCUGCAUUAGGCAAUGAGCUCAGUAGCAGCAGAUGCAGCUCCCCAGGCCUCCCACACCAAUGCAGCGUUGCUCAAACCACGCACUUUGGGCAGAUUCACCCCACUUAUCUCCACGGGGCCUUCCCAGCCAGCAAACUGCUACGAGGGUGAGGAGAAGAAUAUGCAGCAGCUUCCUCAAUGUCAAGGAUUUGGACUCCUAAGUUCCCUGUGCCAGGCAAGGGAGCAGCUGAGAGUGUCUUCUCAGGAGCUGCAGUCCUGAAGCCUGGGGAACUGGGUCAUUGCUAGAAGAGGCGGCUCUCUGCAUGCCAGGAGAAACCCAGCCCAGGAGCUGCAGCCCGGCAAUCCCAGGACAGAAGCGAGAGUGCACCCUACAUCUUCUCAUUCUGCAGCCCUCAGCAUGGCACUUGGCACAGGGCAGUGGCUGGAUAAAUAUUUGCUGAGUUGUACUAAAUACAAAUAACAAGGUUUGAUUAAGGAUCGCAUGAAGGUUGGACACACCUUCUUGACAAUACGGAAAUAAUUUAGUUAAGAGUCACAGAUGCUCUACGCAGGAAAGAAAAUGAGUAAAAUAAAGGGAAACGUUUCCUACCUAUAGGGGGAAACAUCAUAAAUAUUAG
This 669-nucleotide long non-coding RNA is filed under the name Homo sapiens (human). RNAcentral's name for it is "HSALNT0026028". The record is from RNAcentral. Lineage: Eukaryota; Metazoa; Chordata; Mammalia; Primates; Hominidae.